GAGAGGCAUAACACCAUCUGAGAGAUGUGAACAGGGCCUGAAUAAUUGUGCUGGGAGAGCAGAGCCAGCUAGAAGACUUUGUAACGCUUCUUGGCAAGAGCUGGGCUCCAAAGUGCGGAGGACAUUUCCUAUCUCUCUCCUGACUGCUAUGCUGGGGGUGCACAGAGAGUUCUGAAAAGCCUGAUGAGUAUUUUUCACAACAGAAGGGAGUCUCAUGGCAGCUCUCAAACUUGGUGUGCAUGGACACGUCUGCCAUGAGUCUUGCCUUUGCAGAAGGAAGUAAAGGCUCUUUGAUGAC
This 298-nucleotide long non-coding RNA is filed under the name Homo sapiens (human). RNAcentral describes it as "HSALNT0026891". The record is from RNAcentral. Lineage: Eukaryota; Metazoa; Chordata; Mammalia; Primates; Hominidae.